RNAcentral lists this ribosomal RNA (457 nucleotides) under uncultured bacterium. Its description in RNAcentral is "bacterial SSU rRNA". It matches the Rfam family "Bacterial small subunit ribosomal RNA", at positions 29 to 490 of the family's 1533-position model. The record is from RNAcentral.
AGCGAACGUUAGCGGCACGCCUAACACAUGCAAGUCGCACGAGAAAGGGAGCAAUCCUGAGUAGAGUGGCGCACGGGUGCGUAACACGUAGAUAACCUGCCCUUUGGAGGGGGAUAACGUUCCGAAAGGAGCGCUAAUACCGCAUAACGCCUUUUCCGGUUCGCCGGAGAUUGACAAAGGUAGGGACCCGCAAGGGCCUACCGCCAGAGGAGGGGUCUGCGGCCCAUCAGCUAGUUGGGGAGGAAUGGCUCACCAAGGCAGAGACGGGUAGCUGGUCUGAGAGGAUGAUCAGCCACCCUGGUACUGGAACACGGACCAGACUCCUACGGGAGGCAGCAGUGGGGAAUCUUGGUCAAUGGGCGCAAGCCUGAACCAGCGAUGCCGCGUGAGUGAUGAAGGCCCUAGGGUUGUAAAGCUCUUUUACCCGGGAAGAUAAUGACGGUACCGAGAGAAGAAG